Molecule: long non-coding RNA, 404 nt
Filed under: Phoenix dactylifera (date palm)
Lineage: Eukaryota; Viridiplantae; Streptophyta; Magnoliopsida; Arecales; Arecaceae
Description: long non-coding RNA (PDAC_LNC022599)
Source: RNAcentral
AUUUAUAACUCUGAAAUAAACUCUGAAGUGACACACCCUUUGGAAUAGUGCCUGUUCAAAACAUAACUGCUAGUGCAGUUAUUUUGUGCAAAAACGGAUAUAAACUGCCAAUAUAAAUUUCAUUUUACACGUGCCAAGUGCCAAGUGCCAAUCUUUGAUAAUAUAAUAUUGGCUUUCCCUCCACAACUUCCCACCAAAAAGUUAUUUUAGCAUGUGUAGGAUAUGAAUGCUUAUUAAGCUAUCUAAAAAACUCUACCUAAGCAAUGUGGGACUAAAACCCCUCUCAACAUUAUAAACUAUUAAAGGAAGGAGACUUCCAAUACCGACUCUUGGUUCUAGCCACUUUUCUCAGUAGCGGAUAACUAGAGAGAAACGCUGCCAGUAUUCACUCCAUGCCAGUAUUU